Molecule: ribosomal RNA, 253 nt
Filed under: uncultured bacterium
Lineage: Bacteria
Description: partial 16S ribosomal RNA
Rfam family: Bacterial small subunit ribosomal RNA
Source: RNAcentral
UACGUAGGGGGCCAGCGUUGCUCGGAAUUACUGGGCGUAAAGGGUUCGUAGGCGGUUCGGCAAGUUGGGUGUGAAAUCUCUGGGCUUAACUCAGGGGCUGCUUUCAAAACUGCCGCGCUCGAGUGCGAGAGAGGUCAGUGGAAUUGCAGGUGUAGCGGUGAAAUGCGUAGAUAUCUGCAGGAACACCCGUGGCGAAGGCGGCUGACUGGAUCGCAACUGACGCUGAGGAGCGAAAGCAUGGGGAGCGAACAGG